UCCCUGGUGGUCCAGUGGCUAGGACUGGGUGCUCUCACUGCUAUGGGCCUGGGUUCAAGUCCUGGUUGGGGAA
This 73-nucleotide transfer RNA is filed under the name Bos taurus (domestic cattle). It matches the Rfam family "tRNA". Rfam says of the family: Transfer RNA (tRNA) molecules are approximately 80 nucleotides in length. Their secondary structure includes four short double-helical elements and three loops (D, anti-codon, and T loops). The record is from Rfam by way of RNAcentral. Lineage: Eukaryota; Metazoa; Chordata; Mammalia; Artiodactyla; Bovidae. RNAcentral also lists the same sequence under 3 other names.